Molecule: long non-coding RNA, 1521 nt
Filed under: Capsicum annuum
Lineage: Eukaryota; Viridiplantae; Streptophyta; Magnoliopsida; Solanales; Solanaceae
Description: long non-coding RNA (CANN_LNC010894)
Source: RNAcentral
UGCUUUAUCAGUAGCCAAUUCUUCUCUCCACGUCACCAACAAAAGAUCAUUCUCAGAGUUCACUGGGCUUCGCACCUCAUUUGCCCUUCCAUUCGGAAAGAAAGCUAACGAUGACUUGCUCUCUUUUGUUGCUUUCCAUAACUCUGUUGUAAGUUAUUCCAUACUUACUACCUAUUCUAGCACCUCUGCCUUAUUUUUCGAGCGUACUAAUUGCCUGCAGUUAUCUUUCAAGCCUACGUGGGCAACUAUUGGUGCAACUUAUUUUUCAAAUGUACGUGUGCAACUAUAUGUUUGUUCCAAAUAUCAAACAUAGUACUCUAGUAGCGGAGGUGAGAUUUGAGUUUUAUGGGUGCACUUUUAUAUUUAAACAUAAUAAUUGAUAGUGCCAAAAUUUAACAUAUAAUUCUUUGAAAACUUAAUAUUAUUAAAUAUCAUUAAUUUGGUUUAAUAUGACAAAAGAGUGUUAUUCACUACAGUUGAUUUGAUACACUUUUAUAUUUUAAACAAUAAUAGAGAGUUUUUGAAAAAUAGAAAAUCUGAAAGAUUUGUUUGCUAAAUGGUUGCUAUGAGAAAACGUUGAUUUAAGCCUAUUUCAAAUUUUAAAUUGCUAAUUUUUAAAUAGAAAAUAAGUCAAUGAUUAAAAAUAAAAGUAAAUUAAACAUUAUAUAGUAUAAGAUAGGGGGAAUUUAUCUUUUGAAAUUGGAGGGGAGCUUGUAUUUUUGAAAUAAAAUUAAAAAAUACAUAAAUAAUGUGUGUGUCAAUAUUGUUUGGGGGGGGGGGGGGAAUUGUACUUGGAAAAAUGAGCAAUAAAACAAUUGUAGUUGGGUGGGUUUCGAACCCAAAUCCUCCACCCAAAGAGGAGGUUUUAUGCUACAAGUUCAACCACUAUACAAUUGUUUUUGAGAAUGCACAACGUAUAUUUAGUUAAAUUCACUAGUAUAUAUACAGAUAUACAACCUAUAUAUACAAAAAAAUUUCUUGAGGCUAGUGGGUGCACAUGCACCCACUACUCUAUACGUAGGUCCGCCUAGACAGAAAAUCAUUCCUUCAAUGUAUGUGCGUGGUUUCCAAUUGAAGAUAUUCAGUACUACUGCGACACAAUUUCGUUACAACAUUUUCAGAAGUUCAAUAUAUAAAAUUACCACGGAUCGUGAUACUCUUGUUCAUCUGUUGUUAUUGUUUGAUGGUACGCUUGGAGUUAAUGAGUUGGAUAAAACGUAGAUUGGUGGAGGAAAGAACAAGGGGAGAGUAGUGGAGGCAAAAUUGAAGGUAGCCAUCAACGGAUUUGGAAGGAUCGGAAGGAAUUUCUUGAGGUGCUGGCAUGGCAGGAAGGACUCUCCCCUAGAAGUCAUUGCCAUCAAUGACUCUGGCGGUGUCAAGCAAGCCUCUCACCUCCUCAAGUACGACUCUACCCUUGGCAUCUUUGACGCUGACGUCAAGCCUGUUGGUACUGAUGGCAUCUCUGUUGAUGGAAAGGUCAUCAAAGUCGUCUCCGACCGCAACCCCAUCAAUCUCCCCUGG